Firmicutes bacterium CAG:103 is the source of this 85-nucleotide regulatory RNA element. It matches the Rfam family "Glycine riboswitch aptamer". Rfam says of the family: This family represents the bacterial glycine riboswitch. Glycine riboswitches usually consist of two metabolite-binding aptamers domains with similar structures in tandem. The aptamers cooperatively bind glycine to regulate the expression of downstream genes. NCBI's taxonomy places the organism in Bacteria, Bacillati, Bacillota. The record is from Rfam.
UGACGGAGCUCUGGAGAGACGAUUCCGCACCGAAGAAGCAAGGCCGCGCGGCCAAUCUUUCAGGUAAAAGGACAGAGUACACACC